RNAcentral lists this ribosomal RNA (407 nucleotides) under Anostostoma sp. OZ100. Its description in RNAcentral is "partial 12S ribosomal RNA". It matches the Rfam family "Microsporidia small subunit ribosomal RNA", at positions 755 to 1311 of the family's 1311-position model. The record is from RNAcentral. Lineage: Eukaryota; Metazoa; Arthropoda; Insecta; Orthoptera; Anostostomatidae.
UAGUUAAGUUCUUGAAACUCAAAGAAUUUGGCGGUGUUUUAGUCUAUUCAGAGGAAUCUGUCCCGUAAUCGAUAAUUCACGAAUUAUAGUACUUAAUUUUGUUUAAAUCAGUUUGUAUACCGCCGUCAUCAGAUAAUAUUAGGAGAUAAUAAAUUUUCUUGAGAUUUUAUUAAAUUAUAUGUCAGGUCAAGGUGCAGUUUAUAAUUAAGUGGGAAGAUGGAUUACAAUAAAAUUAUUUAUUAACGGAUUUUAGAAUGAAAAAAUGAAUGAAGGUGGAUUUGAUAGUAAGAUUAUUGUUUAGUGAUUUGAUUUUAGCUCUAAAACAUGUACACAUCGCCCGUCGCUCUCAUUAUAAAGUGAGAUAAGUCGUAACAUAGUAGAUGUACUGGAAAGUGUAUCUAGAUAGU